This 384-nucleotide long non-coding RNA is filed under the name Gossypium barbadense (sea-island cotton). RNAcentral's name for it is "long non-coding RNA (GBAR_LNC009112)". The record is from RNAcentral. Lineage: Eukaryota; Viridiplantae; Streptophyta; Magnoliopsida; Malvales; Malvaceae.
UCAAGCACGUUUCGAUCUAAGUGUUCAUCAACACGAUCUUUAUCACUAUCCGAGGAGUACAAAAGUGUUUCAAAGGUUUCAAGCAUCUUACCUCGAUAAGCAGAAGAAUAAGGGUCGAUUUUACCUUUUUCAUUUAAAACAAAUCUUCGCUCAUCGGGGGCAUAGUGUAGUCGAAUCUCCGUUGUUGAGUUAACCUUUGUCAAAUGGAACUCAAACUUCAUGUACAACCACAUAAACUGUUUAAGGCACGAAUAUAAAUUGAAAACAAAUUUGGAAAAUUUCGUUACCUUAUUCUCCAAAACAGAUUUGGACAAAUUCGAGGAUUUUACACAAGGUAAAUCAAGAGAAUAACAAAUCACGCUUCUUUUCGUAAUGACUUUAUCA